Molecule: unclassified non-coding RNA, 384 nt
Filed under: uncultured Actinomycetes bacterium
Lineage: Bacteria; Bacillati; Actinomycetota; Actinomycetes
Description: uncultured actinobacterium contains 16S-23S intergenic spacer region
Source: RNAcentral
UCCGAGUUGACCCCGGCAGUCUCCCAUGAGUCCCCACCACACCGAAGUGCUGUGCUGGCAACAUGGAACGAGGGUUGCGCUCGUUGCGGGACUUAACCCAACAUCUCACGACACAAGCUGACGACAACCAUGCACCACCUGUAUACCGACCUUGCGGGGCCCCCAUCUCUGAGAGUUUCCGGUAUAUGUCAAGCCUUGGUAAGGUUCUUCGCGUUGCAUCGAAUUAAACCACAUGCUCCGCUGCUUGUGCGGGCCCCCGUCAAUUCCUUUGAGUUUUAGCCUUGCGGCCGUACUCCCCAGGCGGGGCACUUAAUGCGUUAGCUACGGCGCCGGGGGAGUCGACACCCCCAACACCUAGUGCCCAUCGUUUACGGCGUGGACUAC